This 269-nucleotide ribosomal RNA is filed under the name uncultured bacterium. RNAcentral describes it as "partial 16S ribosomal RNA". It matches the Rfam family "Bacterial small subunit ribosomal RNA", at positions 89 to 354 of the family's 1533-position model. The record is from RNAcentral.
CGGCGACCGGCGCACGGGUGAGUAACACGUAUGCGACCUGCCCGUAGCAGGGGGAUAAGCGGAAGAAAUUCCGUCUAAUACCGCGUAAUAUCUUUCGGGGGCAUCCCUGAGGGAUUAAAGGAAGCGAUUCCGGCUACGGAUGGGCAUGCGGCGCAUUAGCUAGUCGGCGGGGUAACGGCCCACCGAGGCGACGAUGCGUAGGGGUUCUGAGAGGAAGGUCCCCCACACUGGUACUGAGACACGGACCAGACUCCUACGGGAGGCAGCAG